GAUGAACGCUGGCGGCGUGCCUAAUACAUGCCAGUCGAGCGAACGGACGAGAAGCUUGCUUCUCUGAUGUUAGCGGCGGACGGGUGAGUAACACGUGGAUAACCUACCUAUAAGACUGGGAUAACUUCGGGAAACCGUAGCUAAUACCGGAUAAUAUUUUGAACCGCAUGGUUCAAAAGUGAAAGACGGUCUUGCUGUCACUUAUAGAUGGAUCCGCGCUGCAUUAGCUAGUUGGUAAGGUAACGGCUUACCAAGGCAGCGAUGCAUAGCCGACCUGAGAGGGUGAUCGGCCACACUGGAACUGAGACACGGUCCAGACUCCUACGGGAGGCAGCAGUAGGGAAUCUUCCGCAAUGGGCGAAAGCCUGACGGAGCAACGCCGCGUGAGUGAUGAAGGUCUUCGGAUCGUAAAACUCUGUUAUUAGGGAAGAACAUAUGUGUAAGUAACUGUGCACAUCUUGACGGUACCUAAUCAGAAAGCCACGGCUAACUACGUG
Molecule: ribosomal RNA, 497 nt
Filed under: uncultured bacterium
Lineage: Bacteria
Description: partial 16S ribosomal RNA
Rfam family: Bacterial small subunit ribosomal RNA
Source: RNAcentral